This 257-nucleotide ribosomal RNA is filed under the name uncultured bacterium. RNAcentral's name for it is "partial 16S ribosomal RNA". It matches the Rfam family "Bacterial small subunit ribosomal RNA", at positions 524 to 776 of the family's 1533-position model. The record is from RNAcentral.
UACGUAGGUGGCAAGCGUUGUCCGGAAUUAUUGGGCGUAAAGCGCGCGCAGGCGGUCCUUUAAGUCUGAUGUGAAAGCCCACGGCUCAACCGUGGAGGGUCAUUGGAAACUGGGGGACUUGAGUGCAGAAGAGGAAAGCGGAAUUCCACGGUGGUAGCGGAUGAAAUUGCGUAGAGAUGUGGAGGAACACCAGUGGCGAAAGGCGGCUUCUGGUCUGUAACUGACGCUGAGGAGCGAAAGCGUGGGGAGCAAACAGG